Molecule: ribosomal RNA, 500 nt
Filed under: uncultured bacterium
Lineage: Bacteria
Description: partial 16S ribosomal RNA
Rfam family: Bacterial small subunit ribosomal RNA
Source: RNAcentral
AUUGAACGCUGGCGGCAGGCCUAACACAUGCAAGUCGAGCGGAUGACGGGAGCUUGCUCCUUGAUUCAGCGGCGGACGGGUGAGUAAUGCCUAGGAAUCUGCCUGGUAGUGGGGGACAACGUUUCGAAAGGAACGCUAAUACCGCAUACGUCCUACGGGAGAAAGCAGGGGACCUUCGGGCCUUGCGCUAUCAGAUGAGCCUAGGUCGGAUUAGCUAGUUGGUGGGGUAAUGGCUCACCAAGGCGACGAUCCGUAACUGGUCUGAGAGGAUGAUCAGUCACACUGGAACUGAGACACGGUCCAGACUCCUACGGGAGGCAGCAGUGGGGAAUAUUGGACAAUGGGCGAAAGCCUGAUCCAGCCAUGCCGCGUGUGUGAAGAAGGUCUUCGGAUUGUAAAGCACUUUAAGUUAGGAGGAAGGGCAGUAAAUUAAUACCUUGCUGUUUUGACGUUACCGACAGAAUAAGCACCGGCUAACUCUGUGCCAGCCGCCGCGGUAA